Long non-coding RNA from Suricata suricatta (meerkat), 463 nucleotides. RefSeq lists it as uncharacterized. NCBI's taxonomy places the organism in Eukaryota, Metazoa, Chordata, Mammalia, Carnivora, Herpestidae. The record is from RefSeq and is a predicted model, not a curated record. The transcript has 4 exons.
CUAACCGAUCUGGAGGAGUAAGGGGUGUGGGCCCCGCAUUCCCUGGUGACACUUAGCUGUGCCAGGUAGUGAAAUGCCAAGCCACUGGUGAGAAGCUGCAGGAAGAUCUCACCAGGCUGUGAAUACAGACCCAGGUUUUCUGAUUUUCUGAAGAAGCUAAAGAGACUGGCUUUUCUGGGAGUUGUCACCAACUGGCUCCAUCUCUGAGCUCCUUCCCUCUCCAAGGGUGCCGGAAGCCGGGAUGAGACCACGGGACCUAACUCACAUGUGCAGUGUCAGAAGGCAUCGAUCCCAUCAUGAGACAGGAACUCACUAGUGGCCAAGGAAGAAGAUUCUGGUCCUCAGGACUCACAUUCUCACUGGGGAGAGAGUCUACACACUAUAUCGAUGAACAAGACCCCUGUGCUUUGAAGGAGACAGAACAGGAUGAUGUCAGGGUGACUAGGCAUGGGUGGAGCAGACG